This 242-nucleotide unclassified non-coding RNA is filed under the name Hevea brasiliensis (rubber tree). The record is from RNAcentral. Lineage: Eukaryota; Viridiplantae; Streptophyta; Magnoliopsida; Malpighiales; Euphorbiaceae.
GGCAGAUUCAAUUAGCAUAGUGGGGAGCAUUGAGAAGCUCAAUAGCACCAACUAUAACUAUUGAUGCACUUGGUUUCUACCAAUUGCUUUUAUGUGAUUAGAGGGAUCUUAUUUUUCUUUUUUACUCAUUUGAUAUGGCCUCGGGUUUUUGGAUGUGCUAAGGUAAAUUUUGCAAAAGAAUUUUAUGUUGUUGUUAUUUGUUCUUUAGGUCCUCUUUUUUGGUUGGCCUUGUAUCUCUUGGU